GCACAAGCGGUGGAGCAUGUGGUUUAAUUCGACGCAACGCGAAGAACCUUACCUGGGCUCGAAAUGUAGUGGAAUCCGGCAGAAACGUCGGCGUCUAGCAAUAGACCGCUAUAUAGGUGCUGCAUGGCUGUCGUCAGCUCGUGUCGUGAGAUGUUGGGUUAAGUCCCGCAACGAGCGCAACCCUUAUCUACAGUUGCUACCAUUUAGUUGAGCACUCUGUCGAAACCGCCUCGGAUAACGGGGAGGAAGGUGGGGAUGACGUCAAGUCCUCAUGGCCUUUAUGUCCAGGGCUACACACGUGCUACAAUGGCCGGUACAAACCGCUGCAAACCCGCGAGGGGGAGCUAAUCGGAAAAAGCCGGCCUCAGUUCGGAUUGGAGUCUGCAACUCGACUCCAUGAAGCUGGAAUCGCUAGUAAUCGUGGAUCAGCAUGCCACGGUGAAUACGUUCCCGGGC
RNAcentral lists this ribosomal RNA (456 nucleotides) under uncultured bacterium. Its description in RNAcentral is "bacterial SSU rRNA". It matches the Rfam family "Bacterial small subunit ribosomal RNA", at positions 923 to 1379 of the family's 1533-position model. The record is from RNAcentral.